Long non-coding RNA from Felis catus (domestic cat), 1315 nucleotides. RefSeq lists it as uncharacterized. The record is from RefSeq and is a predicted model, not a curated record. Lineage: Eukaryota; Metazoa; Chordata; Mammalia; Carnivora; Felidae. The transcript has 4 exons.
CUCUAGGGAGAGAAGCCACAUGUAAAUGGGGAAAGCUCUGGCUGGCAGAGCGAGGGGGAACAGGCGAAGGGGGAGCCAGGUCUCUUGAGGAGGCCAGCAACGCGCGUGCGGGUCGAAUGCGGGUUCCCGACGCAAGACGCCCGGAAACCUGCUCCCCAGUGAGAACAAAGGCAGGCGCCAAGCGAGAACCUGAUUGGUGCCGGGUCCUCACGGGUGUCCUCUGGGCCCCGGAGACAACUUGCUUCACCCACUGGCGCGGAGCUCCGUGCUCACUGGAGCCCAGGCUCCCCACCCGGCCUUGGCCGUGACCACACAGGACUGUGCGUUAUGACAUCACCUGUUUUCGCUCUUUAGAACAUGAUCUGUAGUCUCAGCUUCUCCUUUUUUAGAGGUCUCUAGUGUACCGGGAUUUGGGAAGGCCUGCAGUCCGCAGAAUGAAUCUGGAGAUGAUCCUGGUUAUUAUAAAGAGAAUGCGACUCAGAGGCUAAUUGACUUGUGAAUCCUGGAUCACACUUUCAAGAGGGAAGAAAACAAAAGUCACUUCUUCAGAUUUCGCACAGAACAAGGAGAAACUCCCUUUUGUUGUGUGGUUCUGAAGGACGCGGAGCAGGCCAUGUUACUACAGACGAAGAAAAGAAUGUCUACGGCGAAGAGGACACCUGAGAGGUCGCACGCUUAGUGGGAUCAUGGUAGAAGUUCAAAACAUCAACCUGAGAAAAACACAGUGGCUGAUAGGAGCUGCUCAUCUCAUUGAAAGUAAGCUGUUGUUUUCUGUGCUCUGAAGGUGGGGGAUUGCAGUAUCCGCGAUGUGACGUCCGUGAGUCUUUGCUAGGUUUGGAACUGAUGGCCCCAAGCCAGGGGGUAGCGUUUCUUCUUCCCAUACGCCGGGGAAACACUGAGAUUCCUUCAGCAAAAAUAACUUUUCUGCCAAUCUGUAUCACCGCUCAGAGAGGCAGCUGGUCACGUUAACCAAGAAAACUGAUAUUUAGUGGUGAAGAAGCUUGAUUAAACUUUCGCUUUAUCUUUUUAGAUUUUGAUGUGAUAAUAUGGAUAUAGGUGAUUUCCUCAUGCUACUGGGCACCUGCUUGGCAAUUGUUUUUGUUCCUGUUUGCCUGCUCCAUGAGAUUAUUGGCUUCAUGAGGACAGCUCUCCUCAUCAUUAUAUCCUCAAUAUUAUAAACAUUUUUUGAAGAGGUGAAUAAAGAAAGUCAAUGUUACAGGGGCGCCUGAGAGGCUAGUCGGUUAAGCGUCAGACUCUUGGUUUCCUCUCAGGUCACGAUCUCAUGGUUUCAUGAGUUCGAGCUCUGCGUCUGGCU